RNAcentral lists this long non-coding RNA (1018 nucleotides) under Gadus morhua (Atlantic cod). Its description in RNAcentral is "lncRNA (ENSGMOG00000029795.1)". Lineage: Eukaryota; Metazoa; Chordata; Actinopteri; Gadiformes; Gadidae. The record is from RNAcentral.
AUGGUCUCCUCAGCUCUGCUCUCGUCUCUCCUGCUGCUUUCUCUCUCAGGGUUCCUCGCCCAAACUGCAGAUCAGGUGUACUUCCACCUGGAGGUGAAAUACAACCAACCGGACAGAAACAGUCAGGUGUUCUCUGCCCAAACUCCCUUCAGAGGGGUUCUGUUUGGGGCUAUGGACAGACUCAACAACUCCAACCCAGACUUCAACUUCACCUCCUCAAAGAACGUCGACUACGGAGCGUUCCUGGUGAGCGUCAACGGUUUGUUUGGGAACGACCAAGACCGGACAUACUGGGAGCUGCUGGUUCAGAAAGACACCAACACCAUUAUCAGACCUGAUGUUGGUAGGUUUGUGUGUGUGUUGGUGUGUGUGUGUGUGUGUGUGUGUCUGUGUGUGUGUGUGUGUGUGUGUGUGUGUGUGUGUGUGUGUGUGUGUGUGUGUGUGUGUGUGUGUGUGUGUGUGUGUGUGUGUGUGUGUGUGUGUGUGUGUGUGUGUGUGUGUGAGAGUGUGCAUCUAUGAUAUAGGAUCUUCCAACUUCCUAUGAAUUAUAAGACUUGAAUGUUGUGUGUGUUGCAGGGAUCAGCUGUUACAUUCCUCAGGCCAAGGAGAAGGUGAUGCUGAACUACACCACUUAUUAGACAGAGGUCCCUUCUUUGGAUCGCUCUCACUGGGAGAGUAUGGACCUUAUGCCCCUGGCGGCCAUCUUGGUUCUAACUUCAGCAGUAUUCAUGCUCCUGUUUGGAACCAAGAUGGCAGCUUUGUAAAUAAGGCCCAGGCUUUGGAACCCGGACAAUUCACAUCUCAAAAUGGCGUUGCUUGUUUUUUUGUUCCAUAAUAAGUUUUUGGAUUAAAAACUUCUAGUGUAUAAACCUCAACCUGCCUCUGGUCUACAUCCUGCCUCUGAACAAUUAUAAUACGAUCAAAUAAAUACAACAAAUACAUUUAUAACACUGAAUGUCAAGAGGGGUACAAUACAUUCAUCGUAAUAUGAAUAAAAACAUAUCAAACACAAUAUACA